UGGGUGAUCACACUCCAGUGUGGGCUCAGGGGCUGGGUGCCAGGGCUCGCCUCCCACCCAGAGUCCUCACUGGGCCGGGUGGGGUCGUCGCAAGGGCCGGUUCCGGUCGCAGACGCGUGGGAGGUGGCCUGAUGUCAAGGGCCCGUGCCCCAGGCAAACUCGGGCUCUCGGUCGCUCCCACGGGUCCUCCCACCGCACCACGCAGAGUGCUGGGUGCGCGUGCUUGUGAGUGCCUGUUCACGUGUUUGUGCGCAUCUGCGUGCCUCUGCGCGCGUGUGUGCAGGCGUCUGCGCACCAGUGCCUGGGUACGUCUUCAGGUGCUGGUGUGUGAGUUCGUCCAAGUGUCUGUGCAGAUGCUGGGAGAGAGGACCAGAUGUAUACAAAGGAGUGGAAUUGCUGGGCCAUGUAGAAACCAUCGUGCGUGCUUGAGGAACUGCCAGACAAUGGUAUAAUUUCGGAAGCACUGAAAUCAUUAUGAAGCUUGCACCGCAUCUGUGUGGCACUGUGCAGUGGCCUCUGGCCCGAAAGCGGGCCGGCAGAGGAGAGAAGGCGUGUCCGCCACCGCCAGGUGAUAACGCAGGGAAUCUUUUUAUGCCACUUUAUGCCAUUCGACUAUGGAAAAGCAUUUCUCAAAUUUCUUUCCCUGAUGCUCAAAUAAAAAUAGACCGAGGAACUAAAAAAGGACUAACUAUAUUUUCCCCAAAGGCAGGCACUUGCACACACCAAUUAACUCUUCUUAUUUCUUUCUCCUGCUGCCGAGAAGUAAAUAGAAACUAACAGCUGAGCACAGAUUCACACUGGGUGUAUAUUUG
RNAcentral lists this long non-coding RNA (812 nucleotides) under Capra hircus (goat). Its description in RNAcentral is "lncRNA (ENSCHIG00000005463.1)". The record is from RNAcentral. Lineage: Eukaryota; Metazoa; Chordata; Mammalia; Artiodactyla; Bovidae.